RNAcentral lists this unclassified non-coding RNA (363 nucleotides) under uncultured fungus. RNAcentral's name for it is "sequence contains ITS1". The stretch from base 1 to 100 matches the Rfam family "5.8S ribosomal RNA", at positions 50 to 154 of the family's 154-position model. The record is from RNAcentral. Lineage: Eukaryota; Fungi.
AAAGUGCGAUAAGCAAUGCGAAUUGCAGACCGUGAGUCAUUAGAAUUUCGAAAGCAACUUGCACCUCCGCCUGGCGAGAGGUAUGUUCGCUUCAGUGUAUCUUUAUACAAACACACAAAUACCAUAACUAACCAAAUCAUGAAGUGAGUGAGCACUUGUGCUCUCUUCACAACGUAUGAAAGUAGCUGUAUUUGCAUUGAGUGCGUAGUGCCUAGUCUCUAGGAAUUACGCAUUCACCCAUUAAUCCGAUCACCUCGUGUGAACAGUUAAUAGGGGUAAGUGCAGGCGAUAAGCGACUACUUAGCCUCGCAAGCAAACUGUUUGCCAUAUCUGAAGUCGAGCAAGAGCACGCGCUGAACUUAA